Molecule: ribosomal RNA, 253 nt
Filed under: uncultured bacterium
Lineage: Bacteria
Description: partial 16S ribosomal RNA
Rfam family: Bacterial small subunit ribosomal RNA
Source: RNAcentral
GACGAACCGUGCGAACGUUGUUCGGAAUCACUGGGCAUAAAGGGCGCGUAGGCGGCUCGCGAGGUCGGGGGUGAAAUCCCACGGCUUAACCGUGGAAGUGCCUCCGAUACCGGCGAGCUCGAGGGAGGUAGGGGUGCGCGGAACUUCUGGUGGAGCGGUGAAAUGCGUUGAUAUCAGAAGGAACGCCGGCGGCGAAAGCGGCGCACUGGAUCUCUACUGACGCUGAGGCGCGAAAGCCAGGGGAGCAAACGGG